UACGUAGGUCGCAAGCGUUGUCCGGAUUUACUGGGCGUAAAGAGCGCGCAGGCGGCUGGUUAAGUCCGAUGUGAAAUCUCCCGGCUCAACUGGGAAACUGCAUCGGAAACUGAUCGGCUUGAAGAUGGGAGAGGGUAGUGGAAUUCCCGGUGUAGUGGUGAAAUGCGUAGAUAUCGGGAGGAACACCAGUGGCGAAGGCGACUACCUGGCCCAUUCUUGACGCUGAGGCGCGAAAGCUAGGGGAGCGAACGGG
This 253-nucleotide ribosomal RNA is filed under the name uncultured bacterium. Its description in RNAcentral is "partial 16S ribosomal RNA". It matches the Rfam family "Bacterial small subunit ribosomal RNA", at positions 524 to 776 of the family's 1533-position model. The record is from RNAcentral.